This 253-nucleotide ribosomal RNA is filed under the name uncultured bacterium. RNAcentral's name for it is "partial 16S ribosomal RNA". It matches the Rfam family "Bacterial small subunit ribosomal RNA", at positions 524 to 776 of the family's 1533-position model. The record is from RNAcentral.
GACAGAGGGCUCAAACGUUGUUCGGAAUCACUGGGCAUAAAGGGCGCGUAGGCGGCUCGUUAAGUCGGUUGUGAAAUCCCCCGGCUCAACCGGGGAACGGCAUUCGAUACUGGCGGGCUCGAGGACGGGAGGGGUAAGUGGAACUCCAGGUGGAACGGUGAAAUGUGUAGAUAUCUGGAGGAACACCGGUGGCGAAAGCGGCUUACUGGCCCGUAUCUGACGCUGAUGCGCGAAAGCUAGGGGAGCAAACGGG